CCUACGGGUGGCUGCAGUCGAGAAUCAUUCACAAUGGGGGAAACCCUGAUGGUGCGACGCCGCGUGGGGGAAUGAAGGUCUUCGGAUUGUAAACCCCUGUCAUGUGGGAGCAAAUUAAAAAGAUAGUACCACAAGAGAAAGAGACGGCUAACUCUGUGCCAGCAGCCGCGGUAAUACAGAGGUCUCAAGCGUUGUUCGGAAUCACUGGGCGUAAAGCGUGCGUAGGCUGUUUCGUAAGUCGUGUGUGAAAGGCGCGGGCUCAACCCGAGGACGGCACAUGAUACUGGGAGACUAGAGUAAAGGAGGGGAAGCCGGAAUUCGUGGUGUAGCAGUGAAAUGCGUAGAUAGCGAGAGGAACACUCGUGGAGAAGGCGGGUUCCUGGACAUUAACUGACGCUGAGGCACGAAGGCCAGGGGAGCGAAAGGGAUUAGAUACCCUUGUAGUC
Molecule: ribosomal RNA, 446 nt
Filed under: uncultured bacterium
Lineage: Bacteria
Description: partial 16S ribosomal RNA
Rfam family: Bacterial small subunit ribosomal RNA
Source: RNAcentral